GAAAAAGGCGGAGUCCCGGCUCAUGAAGUCCGAGGUGAUCCCUGCAUACAGCUCUCCAUCUGCACAGAAUAACAACAAAUAUCCAGACCCUGCCAGGACCCAAGUUUGUAACUCAGGCCUUGUGUCCAGCCCAAGACGACUCUAAGGACAUCACUUUUAGUUUUUUAUUGUUGUACCACCUUUGCCACUUUCACGGUGACCCCAAGUAUUUGUUCAAUAAUAAUACCUGUUGGAAGACGCUGGUAGCUAUGAAAGCACAUCGAGGGUUGAAGGCUCCAG
Molecule: long non-coding RNA, 279 nt
Organism: Pseudoliparis swirei
Lineage: Eukaryota; Metazoa; Chordata; Actinopteri; Perciformes; Liparidae
Exons: 3
Source: RefSeq, a predicted model, not a curated record